UACCCAUCGAGACAAACCCUGUGCGUCGGUGGGUUUGUGAGGUAAGUGAGAGAAGGAGCACACAUGGUGAGUUUUGGAGUGGAGGCGGACAUAAAGAUGAAGGGGCAGGGGAGUGAGGAAGAUCUGUGGUUAGGAAGAAGGAGUGGGUUGAAGGCCUCGUUCGCUUAACGUAGUACGGGCGUCACUACUUUCGAGAGCGGCGGCGGAGCGGCCAGAGCCGCGGCGGAAGCGGGGCAGCCUCGCAGCGUCCGAGCAGUCCACGCGGCACAGUUUCGGACGUGAGGAGUAAGGCGCCGUAGAGGGACGCCACGGCAGGGUCCUUUGGCCGGGUGGCGAGCGGCGGCGAUGCGUCGAGGGCCCGCCGCCGCGUCCACCACCGCUACUUCGGCCGCUAGGUCAAGUAGGUCCCGUGCCUGCUCGUCUGCUAGGGCCUGCACGCCGACUGGUUCAGGGCGCUGCCGUGGUUGCCCCAUCGGUAGAAGCUCAAGCUGGUCGGCAGCCACAAGCUGAGCAGCCGCCUCGAGCCCCUGUAGUGCCCCAAGAUGUACUAGCUGCUCCUCCCGUACGACGUCUGCCACCUGCACUCGCGGUUCAAGCAGUUGCCCUUCGGCCGGUCCCACCUCCGGUUCAUGCACUACGCGUGCCGGCCCCUGACCCUGGCCAAGUACUCCAAGUACCUCUCCAUGAGCGUCCGGUUGCCGGAGGUCAAGCAGUUCUUAAUUCAGUGUAGAGGAGCUACACGGAACACACAACGGGUACAAGUCAAGUCAUAUUGACAGCUCGACCAUUGCCUCCACUUACUAACAUGAUUUCCACAGUACACAUAGAGAACACAUUGAAACUGUAACACACUUUAAAACAUACGUGGUCGACUUUCGUGCUUGACUCCUUUUGGCCAUCUUUUGUUCGUAGACGCUGAGUCUGCGUGGUCAGGGCUGCAACACGUACAACUACAACACAAUUGUUGAUCAAAGUCUGAAGUCAAAUCAAAAAAGACUUAUUAUCGGUCUUCAUGCUAUACAAAAGUACGACGCCGUCUUAUCCAACAUCGCAAAUUAAGAGACAUUCAACAACCUGUGCUAGUCAGGCACCCUACCGCGCCCUAAUUGCCUAGCACGUGUCGAUCAAACGAUACAGCGACUUAUUUUCCUUUUUUUCCCUUUUACUACGUUUCACACGCGCAGCGG
This 1187-nucleotide ribosomal RNA is filed under the name Triticum aestivum (bread wheat). Its description in RNAcentral is "partial small subunit ribosomal RNA". The record is from RNAcentral. Lineage: Eukaryota; Viridiplantae; Streptophyta; Magnoliopsida; Poales; Poaceae.